This 486-nucleotide long non-coding RNA is filed under the name Homo sapiens (human). RNAcentral describes it as "non-protein coding lnc-RNF208-2:1". The record is from RNAcentral. Lineage: Eukaryota; Metazoa; Chordata; Mammalia; Primates; Hominidae.
CUGGGGUCCCAGGGCAGGGCACAGCCCAGCUGGCUGCCGAGUGAUGGCGCUGCCUUUGAGGGAGGUGAGGGGCAGGGGUUCUAGUCUUGCCGGCUCCCGCUCAGCCUUGACCGCCAGGAAAGCAGCCAGGUCCAGGUCUAGCAUGGCCACCCCUCCGCGAGGCGUGGGCGUGCUCUGACGGCACUGCGGACAGGGGAUCCAGCGCUGCUCGGGCGCCGGUGUGUCCAGCCGCCGCACACACGCCUGGCAGAAGCAUCCUGCCAGAGGGAAGCCAGCGGUGGACAGCCUGCCUCGAGGACCUUCCGCCUGGAUGGGGUGCUGGCCCCAGGAGCCCACCCCAGAGGUCAGGCGCUGGGUCUGUGGGGGUGGUGCGUGCAGACCUGGGAGGGAGCGUGGCACCGGGCACAGGCAGAACCAGGGUCUGCACACUUCUGGUUCAUGUGGGCACCAGCCGGGCAGCCUCCUGUUCCCGCAGCACCACCCUGG